CGCUGGCGGCGCGCUUAAUACAUGCAAGUCGAGCGAGAACCAUGGCUUCGGCCAUGGGGACAGCGGCGAACGGGUGAGUAACACGUGGGUAAUCAACCCCCGACACCGGGAUAGCCCGGGGAAACCCGGAUUAAUACCGGAUGCCCCCAUCCGGCUCUCGAGCCGGCUGGAAAAAGGGUAGCUUCGGCCUCCGGUCGGGGACGAGCCCGCGGCGGAUUAGCUUGUUGGUGAGGUAACGGCUCACCAAGGCGACGAUCCGUAGCUGGUCUGAGAGGACGAUCAGCCACACUGGGACUGAGACACGGCCCAGACUCCUACGGGAGGCAGCAGUAGGGAAUCUUGCGCAAUGGGCGAAAGCCUGACGCAGCGAACCGCCGCGUGAGGGAAGAAGGCCUUCGGGUUGUAAACCUCUUUCAGGAGGGACGAAGCUACUCGGGUUAAUAGCCCAGAGGGUGGCGGUACCUCCAGAAGAAGCCCCGGCUAACUACGUGCCAGCCGCGGC
Molecule: ribosomal RNA, 502 nt
Filed under: uncultured bacterium
Lineage: Bacteria
Description: bacterial SSU rRNA
Rfam family: Bacterial small subunit ribosomal RNA
Source: RNAcentral